AAUAUUCAACGAGACUUGAGCAGUGGAAAGUCAUGUGAACAGCAGUUGAACAUGGUCAGUCGUCCUGAGAGAUAGCGAGCGCCGUCAGACGCAUGCCUCGGUGCCCUCGGCCGAUCGAAAGAGUCGGGUUCAGAUCCCCGAAUCCGGAGUGGCGGAGACGGGCGCCGCGAGGCGUCCCGUAGGUAAGCGUCCAGUG
RNAcentral lists this ribosomal RNA (196 nucleotides) under Hymenochirus curtipes (western dwarf clawed frog). Its description in RNAcentral is "28S ribosomal RNA". Lineage: Eukaryota; Metazoa; Chordata; Amphibia; Anura; Pipidae. The record is from RNAcentral.